This 46-nucleotide non-coding RNA is filed under the name Schistosoma mattheei. Lineage: Eukaryota; Metazoa; Platyhelminthes; Trematoda; Strigeidida; Schistosomatidae. The record is from RNAcentral.
GCUUUGCUGAGGAGUCCCACAAUAGGACUAAACGGCUGUUCAAUAC